This 755-nucleotide ribosomal RNA is filed under the name uncultured archaeon. RNAcentral's name for it is "bacterial SSU rRNA". It matches the Rfam family "Archaeal small subunit ribosomal RNA", at positions 102 to 857 of the family's 1478-position model. The record is from RNAcentral.
GGAUAACCUACCCUUAGGACUGGGAUAACCUUGGGAAACUGAGGAUAAUACCGGAUAGGCAAUUUUUCCUGUAAUGGUUCUUUGUUUAAAUGUUUUUUCGCCUAAGGAUGGGUCUGCGGCCGAUUAGGUAGUUGGUUAGGUAAUGGCUUACCAAGCCGUUGAUCGGUACGGGUUGUGAGAGCAAGAGCCCGGAGAUGGAACCUGAGACAAGGUUCCAGGCCCUACGGGGCGCAGCAGGCGCGAAACCUCCACAAUGUGAGAAAUCGCGAUGGGGGGAUCCCAAGUGCCAUUCUGAAAGGGAUGGCUUUUCAUUAGUGUAAAAAGCUUUUGGAAUAAGAGCUGGGCAAGACCGGUGCCAGCCGCCGCGGUAACACCGGCAGCUCUAGUGGUAGCAACUUUUAUUGGGCCUAAAGCGUCCGUAGCCGGUUUAAUAAGUCUCUGGUGAAAUCCUGUAGCUUAACUGUGGGAAUUGCUGGAGAUACUAUUAGACUUGAGACCGGGAGAGGUUGGAGGUACUCCCAGGGUAGAGGUGAAAUUCUGUAAUCCUGGGAGGACCGCCUGUUGCGAAGGCGUCUAACUGGAACGGUUCUGACGGUGAGGGACGAAAGUUAGGGGCGCGAACCGGAUUAGAUACCCGGGUAGUCCUAACUGUAAACGAUGCGGACUUGGUGUUGGGGUGGCUUUGAGCUGUCCCAGUGCCGAAGGGAAGCUGUUAAGUCCGCCGCCUGGGAAGUACGGUCGCAAGACUGAAACUU